This 253-nucleotide ribosomal RNA is filed under the name uncultured bacterium. RNAcentral describes it as "partial 16S ribosomal RNA". It matches the Rfam family "Bacterial small subunit ribosomal RNA", at positions 524 to 776 of the family's 1533-position model. The record is from RNAcentral.
UACGUAGGGGGCAAGCGUUAUCCGGAUUCACUGGGCGUAAAGGGAGCGCAGGCGGCAUGGUAAGCCUGAUGUGAAAACCCGGGGCCCAACCCCGGGAGUGCAUUGGAAACUGCCAGGCUGGAGUGUCGGAGGGGUAAGCGGAAUUCCUAGUGUAGCGGUGAAAUGCGUAGAUAUUAGGAGGAACACCAGUGGCGAAGGCGGCUUACUGGACGACUACUGACGCUGAGGCUCGAAAGCGUGGGGAGCAAACAGG